AUUGAACGCUGGCGGCAGGCCUAACACAUGCAAGUCGAUCGGAAGAAUGUAGUUUGCUCGCCUAUCCAGGGGGGGAGGGGUGGUUACUGGUUAGGAACUUGCCUUGCAGUGGGGGAUAACGGCCGGAAACGGGCGCUAAUACCGCAUACCGUCAGACGGACUCAUGUUGAGAUCUUCGGACCUUGCUCCUUCAGGUGAGCCUAGGUCGCUUUAGCUAGUUGGCUGGGUUAAGGCCUACCCAGGCGACGAUCCGUAACCCGUCUGAGGGGCUGAUCAGUCACACUGGAACUGAGACACGGUCCAGACUCCUACGGGAGGCAGCAGUGGGGAAUAUUGGACGAUGGGCGAGAGCCUGAUCCAGCCAUGCCGCGUGUGUGAAGAAGGUCUUCGGGUUGUAAAGCCCUUUUAUUUGGAAGGAAAAGCAGUAGGUUAAUACCUCGCUGUUAUGACGGUACCAACAGAAUAAGCACCGGCUAACUUCGUG
RNAcentral lists this ribosomal RNA (484 nucleotides) under uncultured bacterium. Its description in RNAcentral is "partial 16S ribosomal RNA". It matches the Rfam family "Bacterial small subunit ribosomal RNA", at positions 30 to 507 of the family's 1533-position model. The record is from RNAcentral.